RNAcentral lists this ribosomal RNA (165 nucleotides) under Eleusine coracana subsp. africana (African finger millet). RNAcentral describes it as "5.8S ribosomal RNA". It matches the Rfam family "5.8S ribosomal RNA". From Rfam's summary of the family: 5.8S ribosomal RNA (5.8S rRNA) is a component of the large subunit of the eukaryotic ribosome. It is transcribed by RNA polymerase I as part of the 45S precursor that also contains 18S and 28S rRNA. Lineage: Eukaryota; Viridiplantae; Streptophyta; Magnoliopsida; Poales; Poaceae. The record is from RNAcentral.
CACAUGACUCUCGGCAACGGAUAUCUUGGCUCUCGCAUCGAUGAAGAACGUAGCAAAAUGCGAUACCUGGUGUGAAUUGCAGAAUCCCGUGAACCAUCGAGUUUUUGAACGCAAGUUGCGCCCGAGGCCUUUUGGUCGAGGGCACGUCUGCCUGGGCGUCACGUC